Long non-coding RNA from Corticium candelabrum, 697 nucleotides. RefSeq lists it as uncharacterized. Lineage: Eukaryota; Metazoa; Porifera; Homoscleromorpha; Homosclerophorida; Plakinidae. The transcript has 5 exons. The record is from RefSeq and is a predicted model, not a curated record.
UCGCACAACAAACAGAAACUUGAGGCUGGAUUCAGUCCAGUUCCAGUUACAUACACUGGUUCUUGGCCUAGACAGAAGGUCGGCUAUCAACAUUCUCACUAAAACGACGCUGCCGUGACACAAAAGUCAUCUGAAACUGAUUAUGUAAUAGUUUGGAACGACCGCGGAAAAGCACGGAGGCGCACUCAUGGACACUCGAUCGUGUACAACAGACCACACAUACGGGACAGCACAGUGUGAACUCAAUCAAACUGCACUAACUUCUGUUUCUUAUUGUAAUUGGCAGACACACCUCUGCUAGUAUCUUGUCUGCCGUUGAGAUAACAAAGUAUGACUUUGUUGUACUUUGGUGGAUGGUUCCAAAGCAGAGUGUUUAGAAUCAUUGCAAGAUGCAGUCUGUAAACUGGACAUCAGCUAUUUUUCUAGCAAAUGCUGCACUAUCUCUGUAACCGCCAGUCCAACGCAAGGUGUCCAGCGAAAUACAGAGAAAUACAGAAAAUUUUGUAUUUGUUUCCUCUUGCAUUGACUAUGCCAAUAUGGAACUGCAAAUUUUGAAGAAGUGAAAGAUGUUGAAGUGCUAGCAUGUUGGAUCCUUAAUAGCAUGUCAUCACGUUGGCAUCAUAUGGGAGUAUUAGUAGGUGAGGUGACAGGAAGAACAUAGAGACUAAAAAGAAAUUUAGUCAAGUAUUGUUAUGUA